AGAGUUUGAUCCUGGCUCAGGAUGAACGUUGGCGGCGUGCCUAAUACAUGCAAGUCGAACGGUAGUUGAGCAUUCGUGCUUGAUGAGAGUGGCGAACGGGUGAGUAACACGUAACUGAUCUGCCCUUUAGACUGGGAUAACCUUUGGAAACAGAGGCUAAUACCGGAUGAGUUCGCGGUAGUUAGAGAGCCGUGAGGAAAGGCUAAUGCGCUAAGGGAUGAGGUUGCGGGCCAUCAGCUAGUUGGUGAGGUAAAGGCUCACCAAGGCGAUGAUGGUUAGGGGAUCUGAGAGGGUGGCCCCCCACACUGGGACUGAGACACGGCCCAGACUCCUACGGGAGGCAGCAGUAAGGGAUAUUGCACAAUGGACGGAAGUCUGAUGCAGCGACGCCGCGUGGGUGAAGAAGGUUUUCGGAUCGUAAAGCCCUUUUCUAUGUGACGAGAGAGGACGGUAGCAUAGGAAUAAGUGUCGGCUAACUACGUGCCAGCAGCCGCGGUAAAACGUAGGACGCGAACGUUAUCCGGAGUUACUGGGCGUAAAGCGCGCGUAGGCGGUUGGUUAANUUACCUAUGAAAGAUACAGGCUAAACUUGUAUUGGUUAGGUGAAACUGGCUAA
This 616-nucleotide ribosomal RNA is filed under the name uncultured Chloroflexota bacterium. RNAcentral describes it as "bacterial SSU rRNA". It matches the Rfam family "Bacterial small subunit ribosomal RNA", at positions 8 to 640 of the family's 1533-position model. The record is from RNAcentral. Lineage: Bacteria; Bacillati; Chloroflexota.